Macaca mulatta (Rhesus monkey) is the source of this 928-nucleotide non-coding RNA. NCBI's taxonomy places the organism in Eukaryota, Metazoa, Chordata, Mammalia, Primates, Cercopithecidae. The record is from RefSeq and is a predicted model, not a curated record.
ACUCCUCGGCGCUCCCCGGCCUGGGGCGGGUAGGAGGGGUUGGGGGAUUCCGCCAUCCCUUGUUUUGAGGCGGGAACGCAACCCUCGACCGCCCACUGCGCUCCCACCCACAAUAACACGCUGUGAUUGCAGGCUGGGUCCUCACCGUCUGCUCGCCAGUCUUCUCCUUUGAGGACUCGGAAGCCAAGGGUUGCGGGAGGCACCACCCAUCCAGCAAGUCAGGCAAGGAGAGGAGGUGUCGGAAGAGGUCCGCAUCCGUUUUCUGACUUCAGGUCUUGUAAUCUAUGUAGUCAGUUCCAUUGCUGGACUCAUCCAAAGGAAAAAGCCUGUUUGGAGUUGACCUGAGAUGGAAAUGCAAAAGGAGGCCUCAGGGGUUCCAGCUCACCUCUGACUCCAAACUGAGUGGUUACUGCAGUUGCCAAUCUAUGUGAAAACAAAAGAAAACAUCUUGUGAACUACCAAGUAAAUAGGUUGGAAAGUGACUGAAGUUAGAAAACAAUCUACGUGUAACUUCUGAAGUUGUAUUUAGAUCUCAACAGAGACAUCACUUCCUCAGAUGAGUUUCCUCUGACACCCACCUCCAGCACAGACCGAGUCCUCUGCGCCUCUUAUGUCACCACCGUCACCCGCGCUUCAUUCUGGGAAGCUGACUGCCAUGUUGUGACGAUACUCAAGCAGCCUGUGGAGAGCCAACAUUGGGGAAACAGAGGCCUCCUAUUGAGGGCCAGCACCAACCUGCCAGUCACACAAAUAAGCCCCCUUAAAAGCAGAUCCUCCAGCUCCAGCCAAACAUUCAGAUGACUGCAGACCUGGCUGACUUGAUUACCACCUCAAGAGAGACCCCACAUCAGAAACACCCAGCUAAGCCACUCUCAAAUUCCCGACCCACAGAAACUGUGAGGAUAAUAAAUGUUUAUUGUUCUUUUAA